AUAUGGCCCGCGGGCCGUAGGUUGGGCAUCCCUUGUUUAGACGAUUUCUUAUGGUUUUCUUUCUGAUGUAACUAGUAUUCUACUCAGUGUCGUUGUGCUCUCGAAAAUUGAUUAUUGCAAUUUUCUAUUGGCUGGCAUUACCAAGUAUCUGCAGACCAUCUAGUCCUAAUUGUAUCUGCUGCAGCUGACCCAGGUCAGCCGAUCUUGAGAAACUGUUCAGAAAAUGUGACAAAAGGAGAGAACGUAACGUGCGAGUGUUCAUCAGAGCAUAACAGCGAGCCUCGCCCUGUCUUGUCAUGGCCUGGACACACAGACUGUUCCACUUUACAGCUGUCUGCCGUCGGAAUCAACAGGACAUACAUGUGCGAGAUGUUGUGGGGAAAACAAAAAAGAACGGUGUCUUACAGCUUUCAAAUAAUGAAAAUGUCUGCGGCAGCUGAUCCAGGUCAGCCGAUCCUUAAAAACUGUUUAAAACACGCGACAGAAGGAGAGAACGUGACGUGCGAGUGUUCAUCAGAGCGUGACGGCGAGCCCCGCCCAGUCCUCUCCUGGUUAGGACAGACAAACUCGUCCAUUUUACACUUAUACGAUGUCAGAAUCACUGAGACAUACAUGUGUGAGAUGACCUGGGGCGAGCAAAAAAGAAUGGUCUCCUACAUCUUACAAAUAAUAACCAACAAGGAUGGCUCGUAUAAACACACAGCUCCAUCGUCUUUGGUCCAGAUUAUCGGCAUGGAUAUGUACAGACUCCAUUAAACCCUAAGGUUAAUGAGUUGGAACUCGUUGAAAACAUUUAUUACGGUGGCCUCAAGUCAGACAACAUGAGAGAAUCAGGCCUAAUAGACAAUGACCGCGUGGAUUCCAGGAACAGUGAGCAAACAAUACAAUCGGAUGUGGAGAAGGACGAAGGCAGAGAAGCACAGGCAGACCUGUAUGCCGUUGUCGAGAAGAACAAAGAGAAAGAAGAGGUGAAGGCAGAGCUGUAUGCAGCUGUGAUGAAGUCAAGCGUGAAGCAACAAGAACCAUCUCCUGGGAGAAGGAUAAAUAUCGUUAGUGAGGUAGACGUGUACGCCGUCGUCGAGAAGGGAGCUGAGCAAGAAACGUACGCCCAGGUGGUAAAAUUGUCUGAACAGUAAACAACAUUACUAAAUCUCUCAAAUAAUCAUUAUGUAAUCAAUGUAUGCAUCUAUACAUGUAAUAUAUUGUCGACUUAAUCACCAAAACAGUCUUCAGAAUAAUCCAAACUGCUAAUACAAUCACCCAAAGACUAAAAAUAAUCAUCAAAGCAGUGGCUCCAAUUACUCAAAAAGUAAAGGUGCACCUUGAAGCUAAAACCUUUAUAAGAUGUGCGCACAUCAGUCAAUGAGUUGUACAAAAAUGUGAAAUUAAAUGUUAUGAUGCUUGUAUGUAUGUUAUGAGCUUAUAUAUUGUAUCCAAGAUUUGUAGGAUUUAUUCCACCACGUUUACCACAUGUCACAUUAUUUACUGUGUUGUCGUUAACACUUUUUCGUAAUAGUGUGAGGUCUUGUAAAUAAGUUAUACUACUCUGUUUGCCAGAAGAUGUAAAGAGGAUUUUAUACAGAUUUAUAAAAGUGUCACUUUCUGUACAAAGUUUCUGGAGAUA
Molecule: unclassified non-coding RNA, 1624 nt
Filed under: Pomacea canaliculata
Lineage: Eukaryota; Metazoa; Mollusca; Gastropoda; Architaenioglossa; Ampullariidae
Description: uncharacterized LOC112568682, transcript variant X2
Source: RNAcentral